This is a long non-coding RNA of Humulus lupulus (European hop), 906 nucleotides long. RefSeq lists it as uncharacterized. The record is from RefSeq and is a predicted model, not a curated record. The transcript has 3 exons. Lineage: Eukaryota; Viridiplantae; Streptophyta; Magnoliopsida; Rosales; Cannabaceae.
AUAAGUUUUUAAUUCUAAUUUAUAAGUCCAAAAUUCCGUAAAUAAAUCAUUGCUGGAUUAUUGUUGUUGUGAUUAUUUAUUUUUCUGAGGGGAAGAGGUUUUGUAAGCUCUUGAGAAAUUAAUAAUUGGAGCAUGGGUAUUCAGUUCUGCUCUCACAUUUUAAAGAAAGCCAUCACUGAUCUACUACUCUUUUUAUUAUAAAUUUCUGAAUCACCCUGCUCUUGAUGGUCUUUUAAGUGAUAAAGAUUGAAAGGCUUUCUAGUAAACUCAAUUAAUGUCUUAAUCAAUGGUAAGGGAUGAUAGAUGGUCAAGCGUGCUACUGGGGAAAGCUUUCACUUGCAAAUAUUUUAAACAAGACAAGUUUAUGGAGGUAUGUCACGUUAAGUAUUAUUUAUUUCUUUAAUUAUUUUUAUUGUUACACUAAAUAAAGAGAAGUUAAGUUUUCAGUUUUACAGAAACAUUUACUUUUUCCCUUUGGCUACUGAAGUAAUAUGAUAAUGAUGCCUCUCUACUGUGGGAUUAAAGUCUCACCAGUUUGCCCUAGCAAACCUCUUUUUUUUUCUCUAUGGGAUACUAAAUUGUAGAAAAUGACAGCUUAACUGUCUAUUUUGCAGAUUGAUGUAGGCAUUGGAUCUUCAUCAUUUGCAAGAGGUGUCAUUGACCUUGUCUUGGGAUAUGUCACAAGCUUGGUGAUUGACCUGGCUAUUUUGAUAGAGGUUUGUGUCUUGAUACUAAGGGAUAUGUUUUCUGUUUAUCAACUAGCAUUUCUUCAUUUUGUGUGGUCUGUCUAGUUAUAAUUUAAUUUCAGACCUUUAAAGAAAUAUGCUCUAGAGGGAUUUCUAUGUACAUGAUCCACUAUUUUAACUGUCAAAAUACUCUGUAGUGGACAAUUAGAAAGAUGUUAUA